Molecule: ribosomal RNA, 397 nt
Filed under: uncultured bacterium
Lineage: Bacteria
Description: partial 16S ribosomal RNA
Rfam family: Bacterial small subunit ribosomal RNA
Source: RNAcentral
AUACGUAGGGAGCGAGCGUUGUCCGGAAUUACUGGGCGUAAAGGGCGCGUAGGCGGCCCGGUAAGUCUGGAGUGAAAGUCCUGCUUUUAAGGUGGGAAUUGCUUUGGAUACUGUCGGACUUGAGUGCUGGAGGGGAUAGCGGAAUUCCUAGUGGAGCGGUAAAAUGCGCAGAUAUUAGGAAGAACACCGGUGGCGAAGGCGGCUUUCAGGACAGUAACUGACGUUGCGGCUCCCAAGAUUGGAGAGCAGACAGGAUGUUAUACCCUGGUUGUCCACGCCGUAAACGAUGAAUACUAGGUGUAGGUGGUAUCGACUCCCUCUGUGCCGCAGUUAACACAAUAAGUAUUCCGCCUGGGGAGUACGGCCGCAAGGUUGAAACUCAAAUGAAGUGGCGGGG